UGCUGAUCAUAAGUGACGUAUUGCCAUUUCCUGUUUCUUUGGUUGGAUUUGAUACAUCUGCAUAUGUUGUUUCUUUAGCUAAAUUUGAUACAUCUGCAUAAGUUGAAAUUUACUUGGUGUUUCUAAAUCAUUUUUAAAGGUCAAUUUGUAGACUUUUCAUUUACUCCUUUCAAUAUUCUAAAAAUGCAUAGCAUAAAGAUUUUAAUAACAAAUCAGGAACUACCUAUUUAUGUAGAUGGCGUCAAGCAAGAUUAGAUAUGUAAGAAAAGUUAUGCUGUCCAGAUUCCAUUGCCCAAAAUUUCACUAAUCUAGAUUUCAUUUUUUGCAGUCUCUUUGUUUUUGUUAGGAUUCUUUCUGUUACUAGUACUACAUAACCUUUUCAUAUAUAUUUUCUAGAAUCUAAUGCUGCUCAAUAUUUUUGAAUAAGAAGAAAAAUCGGAUACAGUGGACUUCCUGAGCGUGAGGCUAAAAACAUUAAAUAGGUGAAACUGUGAAAGCUAGAGAGAGUCACAAAAUGAAAUUAAAGAUGCACCGUGCACUUACUUGUUUUGCAAUUUUAAUUAUGUCAAUAUUUAUAAAACACAUUUUAAUCUUACUCGACAAUUUAAUACGUGGCAAAAAUAAUCUACAUAAGCUCCAACUCAUCAUUACGGCAAUCGGAAAAGAAUAGGGAUACGAAAUUGCAAAAAUUGAAAAAAUUAUGAUUUAAUUUGCCACACUUCAAAAGUCGCGUUAAAAUUGCAAAUUUAAAAUUAUUUGUGAUUUUUUUUGCAAAAACCCCCCAAGAAAAAAGGGCGGGUCAAAUCGGGUGUAGAAGUGUUGUGGGCCGGGUUGAUCCGUCCGCCCAGGAAAGCACCUCAAUUAUGAAAUGUAAAGUUAGAGAACAGUAGGGUUUGAAAAUAUCAUUGACGAAGACGAUGAUGAUGCGGUACAAGUUGGGUAGCACACAGUACCACCAUUCAUCAACCAAAACAAUUCACAAGUCUGGUAGAAAAUAAGAAAGCAUACUUAAUAUUUUGGGAAUAGCUUAACAGAGGUGAUCUCCAGGGUGAGCACGAAGAUUACCAAAAUACCCUUUGGGGUUACUCUCAAACACGCUCCUCGGCAUCCUGCAGUUGCGGCCUGGGGCUUUCAUCAUCCUCACCCCCCUUCCGCCGCCGCAGCAGCAGCGGCAGCAACNNNNNNN
RNAcentral lists this long non-coding RNA (1186 nucleotides) under Salvia miltiorrhiza (redroot sage). RNAcentral's name for it is "long non-coding RNA (SMIL_LNC013941)". The record is from RNAcentral. Lineage: Eukaryota; Viridiplantae; Streptophyta; Magnoliopsida; Lamiales; Lamiaceae.